CAGCAGCCGCGGGAAUACGGAGGGUGCAAGCGUUAAUCGGAAUUACUGGGCGUAAAGCGUGCGUAGGCGGUUCGUUAAGUCUGUUGUGAAAGCCCCGGGCUCAACCUGGGAAUGGCAAUGGAUACUGGCGAGCUAGAGUGUGUCAGAGGAUGGUGGAAUUCCCGGUGUAGCGGUGAAAUGCGUAGAGAUCGGGAGGAACAUCAGUGGCGAAGGCGGCCAUCUGGGACAACACUGACGCUGAGGCACGAAAGCGUAGGGAGCAAACAGGAUUAGAUACCCCUGUAGUCCCUGUCUCUUAUAC
This 301-nucleotide ribosomal RNA is filed under the name uncultured bacterium. Its description in RNAcentral is "partial 16S ribosomal RNA". It matches the Rfam family "Bacterial small subunit ribosomal RNA", at positions 509 to 807 of the family's 1533-position model. The record is from RNAcentral.